GGGGGGGGUCAAGCGUUGUUCGGAAUUACUGGGCGUAAAGGGCGCGUAGGCGGUCCCGCAAGUCCUUCGUGAAAUCCCACAGCUCAACUGUGGAAUUGCGAGGGAAACUGCAGGACUUGAGUCCGGGAGAGGAGAGUGGAAUUCCCAGUGUAGCGGUGAAAUGCGUAGAUAUUGGGAGGAACACCGGUGGCGAAGGCGGCUCUCUGGACCGGGCACUGACGCUGAGGCGCGAAAGCUAGGGGAGCAAACGGGAUUAGAUACCCCGGGUAGUCCUAGCCCUAAACGAUGAGCACUUGGUGUGGCGGGUAUCGACCCCCCGUGCCGUGCCGAAGCUAACGCAUUAAGUGCUCCGCCUGGGGGUAGUACGGUCGCAAGGCUG
Molecule: ribosomal RNA, 379 nt
Filed under: uncultured organism
Description: partial 16S ribosomal RNA
Rfam family: Bacterial small subunit ribosomal RNA
Source: RNAcentral